This 71-nucleotide transfer RNA is filed under the name Ophisurus macrorhynchos. RNAcentral describes it as "tRNA-Ser (AGY)". The record is from RNAcentral. Lineage: Eukaryota; Metazoa; Chordata; Actinopteri; Anguilliformes; Ophichthidae.
GAGAGAGAUAAGCCUUAAUCUGAGAGACUGCUAACCUCUCGAAUCCGCGGUUGAAGUCCGCGGCUCGCUCG